Molecule: long non-coding RNA, 571 nt
Filed under: Phascolarctos cinereus (koala)
Lineage: Eukaryota; Metazoa; Chordata; Mammalia; Diprotodontia; Phascolarctidae
Description: lncRNA (ENSPCIG00000031655.1)
Source: RNAcentral
CUGGAAUCAACACCUUCAUGACUGUGAUAGAAAUGGCUAUGAAACCAAACCGUGGACUCCAAUCUCAGGGAGCUUGGGUUUCUUGGCUACCACCAGAUGUGUUGAAGGAGCUGUGCUUGAUGGCAUCCUCAAAGCAUUUAGCAUCCCAUAAGUACUGAGUUACCAGUAAUGACAAAAUGGAGAGGAACCUUGGACAAAUAAAUCACAGGCAAUGGAAUGUAUAAACAUCCACUUUUUGUUGGGGUGAUGAAUAGGAAUACAAAUCUUCUGUAUACGACAGACCGAUUCAAGGAAAAUUAUUGUGAUAUCAAAAUGUAAGUGAAAAAAUAAUGCAAAUCUUUCUAGAAUACCACAAUGACUAUUAGUACUUCUUCUCUGGUGGAACUGACAUUAAACCCCCGCUUGUAUUGACAGACUAGAUCUCCAAAGAGCACCUGACUACCAUCCCCCUCAAAGUACUGUAGUAACCCUGAGGGGCCAGUACUAUUUUUGAUACUAUUAUUCACAAGCCCCCAUUAGUGUGCUUUCCACUGAUUAUCAGCCAUAGUCAUUUCCUAAGGUGGCAUAGUAC